RNAcentral lists this ribosomal RNA (468 nucleotides) under uncultured bacterium. RNAcentral describes it as "partial 16S ribosomal RNA". It matches the Rfam family "Bacterial small subunit ribosomal RNA", at positions 28 to 507 of the family's 1533-position model. The record is from RNAcentral.
GACGAACGCUGGCGGCGUGCUUAACACAUGCAAGUCGAACGGAAAGGCCCUGCUUUUGUGGGGUGCUCGAGUGGCGAACGGGUGAGUAACACGUGAGUAACCUGCCCUUGACUUUGGGAUAACUUCAGGAAACUGGGGCUAAUACCGGAUAGGAGCUCCUGCUGCAUGGUGGGGGUUGGAAAGUUUGGGCGGUUGGGGAUGGACUCGCGGCUUAUCAGCUUGUUGGUGGGGUAGUGGCUUACCAAGGCUUUGACGGGUAGCCGGCCUGAGAGGGUGACCGGCCACAUUGGGACUGAGAUACGGCCCAGACUCCUACGGGAGGCAGCAGUGGGGAAUAUUGCACAAUGGGCGGAAGCCUGAUGCAGCAACGCCGCGUGCGGGAUGAAGGCCUUCGGGUUGUAAACCGCUUUCGCCUGUGACGAAGCGUGAGUGACGGUAAUGGGUAAAGAAGCACCGGCUAACUACGUG